ACUCCUACGGGAGGCAGCAGUGGGGAAUAUUGGACAAUGGGCGCAAGCCUGAUCCAGCCAUGCCGCGUGAGUGAUGAAGGCCUUAGGGUUGUAAAGCUCUUUCACCGGAGAAGAUAAUGACGGUAUCCGGAGAAGAAGCCCCGGCUAACUUCGUGCCAGCAGCCGCGGUAAUACGAAGGGGGCUCGCGUUGUUCGGAAUUACUGGGCGUAAAGCGCACGUAGGCGGAUAUUUAAGUCAGGGGUG
RNAcentral lists this ribosomal RNA (244 nucleotides) under uncultured bacterium. Its description in RNAcentral is "partial 16S ribosomal RNA". It matches the Rfam family "Bacterial small subunit ribosomal RNA", at positions 335 to 596 of the family's 1533-position model. The record is from RNAcentral.